AACUGGCCCUAAUUCCUGAAACGCAGUCAAGAAGAAGAAAGAUAAGACACGUUAGCGGUGCAAGAUGGCAAGCCAUUUGACGGAUCGAAUUUUAGAAUAUCUGGAUACACAUAGCGAAACAAAUUCGUUAUAUUUGGCAGAUAUACUUCAAGAGGAUCAUCAAAAGAUCAUAGGCGCGAUCAAAAGUCUCGAGACGGUCCAUGAUUUGAUCACGGUAAAACCGAUUUCCCAAAAAAAAUGGGAAAUUACCGACGAAGGAAAAUACGUAAUAGAACAUGGCAGUCACGAAGCGAUCGUUUACAAUGCUAUCCCUGAUGAAGGGAUAUCUCAGGCCAAACUUAUCAAAUCUAGCCCUUAUGCUAAAGUAGGUUUUUCCAAGGCGAUGGUUCUAGGAUGGAUCGAGCUUGAUAAAAGUGGAAACAUUCCUACUGUACGAAAGAAAGCAUCGUCCAUUAUAGAUAUCAUUCAGAUACAUUUGAAGAACCUCACAAAUGUCCCGGAAAAUGUUAAAGCAGAAUAUAAGAAGAGAAAGUUAUUGCAGGAGGUGAUGAUAAAAAUUAUGCAUCUUGAAAAGGGGCCAAAUUUUUCUACGAAAAUAGAAAAGCUAGAAACAGACUUGACGUCAGAUUUAUUGGUAAAUGGUGUUUGGAAAGAUAAAAAAUUUAAACCAUACAAUUUUGACGCUCUAGGUGCGUCACUUCAAAUAGGACAUUUACAUCCAUUGUUAAAAGUUCGUCAUGAAUUCAGGAAAAUCUUCUUGGAAAUGGGAUUUACUGAAAUGCCAUCAAAUAAUUACAUAGAAAGUUCUUUUUGGAAUUUUGACGCUCUUUUCCAGCCGCAGCAACAUCCUGCUCGUGAUGCUCACGAUACUUUUUUCAUCUCUGAACCUUGUCUUAGCACAAAGUUCCCUAUGGAAUAUUUGGAAAGAGUAAGGACUGUUCACAGUAAAGGAGCAUAUGGAUCUCAAGGUUAUAGAUAUGAUUGGAAGUUGGAAGAGGCACAAAAAAAUUUGCUGCGCACUCAUACAACAUCCAAUAGUGCACGAAUGUUAUAUAAACUUAUGGAGAAAGGAAAUUUUAAGCCGAUCAAGUACUUCAGUAUUGAUAGAGUAUUUCGCAAUGAAACUUUAGAUGCGACACAUCUUGCUGAAUUUCAUCAAGUUGAAGGUGUCGUUGCCGAUUACAACCUUACAUUGGGUAAUCUUAUUGGCACUUUAUAUGAAUUCUUUAGUAAACUUGGUAUUACUCAACUUCAAUUCAAACCUGCGUAUAAUCCGUACACUGAGCCGAGUAUGGAAAUAUUCUGUUUUCAUAAUGGAUUAGAGAAAUGGAUAGAGAUUGGUAAUAGCGGUAUGUUUAGACCUGAAAUGUUAUUGCCAAUGAAUCUACCUCCUGAUGUAAAUGUCAUUGCGUGGGGUUUGUCAUUAGAAAGGCCAACAAUGAUUAAAUAUGGUUUAAACAAUAUACGCGAUCUUGUUGGACCGAAAGUGGAUAUGGAAAUGGUUCAUAACAAUCCAUUAUGUCGAUUAGAGAAGUAAAUACAUUUUAAGCAAGUAGUACUACUAUGGAGAUUCUAACUCAUGGGGCGCGGGAAGGUCCCAGCGCCACCGCUGUCGUCGCCACCACCGCCGCCGCCGCCGCCUUCUUCUUCCGAUUUCGGAUCGGUUCUUACGGUCGGAGGCCGAAGAGUUCCGCCAGGAAGAAAUCACCUUCCUCCCACAUAUCAAUACUCUCUUUUCGAUCCCAACGACUUUCUGCGCAUAUUAUCUGCGCAUUAAAGAUGUUCAUGAACCCUUUUAUCUUUACAUAGUUAUGAUGUGUUUCCUGAUAAAAAGUAUCGUACAAAGUGAAUUACAACAAGAUAAUUAGAAAAUAUUCUAUCUACAAUUUAUAAUUUAUAAGCUAUAAUUUAUAAUUUAUAAUUUAUACUGAACUUACCAGGGGAAUUACUAGAAUCUCCACCUCAUUCCGUAACUGGAGCCGUACGACUUUCAGGUCUUGUCUCUCGACGAUGAUGUACUGGAAAAAUAAAAAAUAAAAAAAACAUUAGAAAAAUAAA
RNAcentral lists this unclassified non-coding RNA (2058 nucleotides) under Acromyrmex echinatior (Panamanian leafcutter ant). RNAcentral describes it as "probable phenylalanine--tRNA ligase alpha subunit, transcript variant X1". The record is from RNAcentral. Lineage: Eukaryota; Metazoa; Arthropoda; Insecta; Hymenoptera; Formicidae.